CUUGUGUCCCAAAUGUCCACAUCUGCCACAAACACUUGGAAUCUAUGUAUACUCAACAUCCACCAAGAAAAUAUUGCCUUGUUUGUCAUCUAAGGCAAUUUGCUUUGGAAAAGGCUUGUCAAGUUCUACUUCAACCAACAACUUUGCUUAUCCCAAACAAGUCGGAUCAAGUCGAGGUUUAUGUGUUUGCAUAGGCUCACCAAGUCCAGACGCAACAUGGCUGAGACCCAAUCUUGAGUAGCAGCUAUCCGGAACAUUUUUAAGAUUUACCCACACUGGUAUUGUUGAUACCUCAGGGACUUUGAAUGAGUUGACUGAUUUCCAAGGCGAAACAAAUAACAAACAGUCAUCAACAUGCCAUACACCUCUUUGAA
RNAcentral lists this long non-coding RNA (374 nucleotides) under Brassica napus (rape). RNAcentral describes it as "long non-coding RNA (BNAP_LNC002015)". Lineage: Eukaryota; Viridiplantae; Streptophyta; Magnoliopsida; Brassicales; Brassicaceae. The record is from RNAcentral.